Long non-coding RNA from Rhineura floridana, 1764 nucleotides. RefSeq lists it as uncharacterized. The transcript has 5 exons. The record is from RefSeq and is a predicted model, not a curated record. NCBI's taxonomy places the organism in Eukaryota, Metazoa, Chordata, Lepidosauria, Squamata, Rhineuridae.
GCACUAGGGGACUGAAGAAGACCUGCCCUGGGAGUGAAUAUCUGAGCAUCUGGGUGCUUGCUGCUCGCUCCUUUGGGGUGCUGUCUCUCAAGCCAGCUGAAGACCCUGGCUGUUCUGGUGUUUGGCACAACAACCUUAUCAAUGGUUUGCAACCGUGAGCAAAGACUCCUGAGAAAGCUGAAUGGUUGAAAUAUGAAGUGCUAUUUAUAACAAGCACAAAAGAGCACUCGGGGACACUGGGCUUGGUACACACACAGAGCAAACUAGACUCCAAAAAAGAAUGAGAUGCAGACACAGAAGAGCAUCAAGAGGCUGAAAAUUACUGAGCCAGAGGAAGACAACAUUUGAGCAAAAGAAGUUCAGGUGUGGGAGGAGAACAAAAUGAAAUAAAGGAUCCACAUAUCUUGUUAAUAGAAGCCCUUCUAUUCUGGGGAUGACACAUUUCUUGCAGCAUUCAGACUGUCAUAUAUUGGUUCUGGGAUGCUGUUCAUCUCCUCCCAGCAAGCAGGGCUAAUGUGACUUGGAGUCCUGCCUGGAAUAUGGGGGAUCUGAGAUGGUAAGGCAUACUUCCAGUUCAAGAACUAUGGAGACACUAUGGCAGACAACAACAUGCAACCUGAGCCUAUGCAUAUUUACACAAUAAUAAAACCCAUAGCUUUCAGUGAGACUUCUUCCCAAGGACUCACAGGCUACACUGGAGACAAUGGACAUUUGGAUUACUCUGGGAGACAACUUUGAGGAACGGCAAAAUCUACCACCACUGACAUGGAGUCUCCUGCACCACUGUGCAUGUGUAUGGGAUAAUAUAUUGCUGAUGUUUCUCCUCCCCCCCCAAAAAAAAUUAUCCGGAGCCAGGUUUGGGAGGGAGCUCCUGGAAGAGAACGUUUCUGGAGGAGAACAGAAGGGAAUGCCAAAGAGCAAGAGUGAAGGGAAUGUGAAGGGCAAGAUGGAGAGGAGAAAGCUCUUCUGCUAAUGCAUCCCUUUCAACCUGACCCUGAAAUUUCACAGCCCUUCAGCUAAUUAGUGAUAAAGACAGACUCCCUUGCCAUCAUACAAAUUGCCUUUGAAACUCCCUUCAGUUUCAAAAGCAGUUUGCCAUAUGGCAUUUUGUGGGUGAAGAGGAAGAGGCUUAUACCCCUGGGAUCCUGAAACUUGUUUUACAUAGCAACUAUUUUGUGGUUCUCCUGUAAUUUGAAAACUAAACCACUGAUUGGUUCUUCCCAAAGAAUAAAUCAGACUUCUUCCUCAGAUGCAACUGCUACAACAGUUCCAGCAGGGUCUCCUUAAAUCAGCUCAAAAACUGAAAAGCAAAUAAAGAACGAGCACAGAAAAUGAAGUUGGCAGGGCUCCACUGAUAUGAUUUGUUAUAGAAAUUGCAGCUGAUUUACGGGUCGGGGCCUCUGUCAGUGCUCUGUAAGUUGAAGGCAAAAUAUUUCAACAGUUACUUAUGGGGGGUGGGAAAUGUUUCUGCUGAUCCAGGAAAUGUUCUGAGGGCAAUGAUACAUGCUUACAGCAAGUAAAAUAAUGUUUUCUUCUAAUUUGGGCAGAAGUACCUUUUGAAGGAUACCAGCAACAAUUUACUGUGAUUCAUUCCUCAGCUUAGAAAGUUAGAUCUUCUGAGUUGGGGGGGUGCAGAGUCCAAACAGGCAAAACAUGAAAGAGGAAUGUUUUGUUAAGGGGUGUUGUAUAGAUGCUGUGUUUAAAAAAAAGUAAAUGACGUGUGCCUAUUGCACAGUAAGUGCCAAGUGUGGAAUCAGCCUAAGA